RNAcentral lists this ribosomal RNA (406 nucleotides) under uncultured bacterium. RNAcentral describes it as "partial 16S ribosomal RNA". It matches the Rfam family "Bacterial small subunit ribosomal RNA", at positions 360 to 773 of the family's 1533-position model. The record is from RNAcentral.
AAUAUUGCGCAAUGGAGGGAACUCUGACGCAGCGACGCCGCGUGAGCGAUGAAGGUUUUCGGAUCGUAACGCUCUGUCCUUGGGGAAGAAGGUCUUCGGACUUGACGGUACCUAAGGAGGAAGCCCCGGCUAACUACGUGCCAGCAGCCGCGGUAAUACGGAGGGGGCUAGCGUUGUUCGGAAUCACUGGGCGUAAAGCGCGCGUAGGCGGGCAUCUAAGUCAGGGGUGAAAUCCCGAGGCUCAACCUCGGAACUGCCUUUGAUACUGGGUGUCUUGAGUCCGGGAGAGGUGAGUGGAAUUCCUAGUGUAGAGGUGAAAUUCGUAGAUAUUAGGAGGAACACCAGUGGCGAAGGCGGCUCACUGGCCCGGUACUGACGCUGAGGUGCGAAAGCGUGGGGAGCAAAC